GGGAUCUGCACCGCCCCUUCGUGUUACCUGCGAUUAUAUGACCCUGCCUAAAGGAUUGGCACUGAAGAAUACACUAUGUUUAGUUACCCUCUCUCAGGUUUCUGGAAUAACAGUCCAUCAUCAUCAUCCAGAGAUGAGCUACACAGCCUGUAACAGCACCACGUCACCCAUUCAUCACUGGACAACCUCAGCUGCAUACAUACAUGAGGAAGAAAAUAACAAGAUAAAGAUGAUCCUUAAGACUAUUUUGACUGUUAGAAUGUGGAACUAUUGUCAAUAUAGCUGGAGAAACGGCUGGAGAGUGGCACUGUUUCAACUAGCACUGUUCUAGGAAAGACUCAAAAGAGUCCCAAGGGAGUCUUGCGUUAAGUCCCAAGUCUAUUCACUAAAAUUCCAUAGGUCAAUCAGAGCCCAGUGGAGCUAUCCUUUGGUAAACAUACAAGACUGUUGGCAGACGCUAAGUUUCCCUUACCCUCUGAAAGGUGCUGCAUAUUAUCCAGAGGGUCACCAGCUACAUCUUCACAUCUUUAUGAUCCAGCCCAGGUAUCUCUGCAUCACUACUGCAGCAGCGUUAAGGUGGGAGAGAGUAGCAAGAGCAGCCAUCAGGAUUCCUAUUCCAGCUUCAGUCUUUCUCUCCCUGUCCCCCUCUCACAGAUGCACACCUGCACAUCUAGCCCCUGCACCCACUCUACUCAACAGAGGUUUAGUUUACAGUCUUUGAAAUGGUAAUCUUUGAAAAAUGGGUUUUCAAAUUAGUGGAAUUUUCCCACUUCUCUUAGGGGGAACCCACCAAUGAAAAAUCCUCCCCAUCAUCACAGAUUGAAAUUUUAUAUUCUCCUCUAAUCAAAGUAGCUUUAUAAUCAGUGGCUUGGUCACCUUCUUUCUGUUUGAGUCUAACAGAAAAUUGGUAACUUCAGUGGUUUUCUGGGUCAGUGAUGGAAACUGAUUAUUGUAAUAACUUCAGUUGGGAAUGAUGACAGCUCAGGGAAACUCCUAUCUGACUAAGCCCAGAAUCUGAAUUUAAGAUUAGAAAAUAGUUUCAGGCCAGGCGUGGUGGCUCACGUCUGUAAUCCCAGCACUUUGGGGGGCCGAGGCAGGUGGAUCACCUGAGGUCAGGAGUUCAAGACCAGCCUAGCCAACAUAGUGAAACCUCGUCUCUACUAAAAAUAGAAAAAUCAGCCAGGUAUGGUGGCAUGUACCUAUAAUCCCAGCUACUCAGGAAGCUGAGGCAGGAGAAUUGCUUGAACCUGAGAGGCGGAGGUUGCAAUGAGCUGAGAUUGCACCACUGUACUCCAGCCUGGGUGACAGAGCACAACUCCAUCUCAAAAAAAAAUUUUUUUUUAAAUAGUUUCAGCUUUACACUGAGCAAGAGGGAAAAAUGUUGUACCUUUCUCUUGGGUCUAAAGUAAUGCAUUAAAAACUUUGGAAAUUUCAAGUUUGGAACAUAGAAAAGUAUGCAAAUUCUUCAGCAGCCUUGCUUGAGGGCUUGUGUUAACACUUAAAAUUCUGAUAUGGAUGAAUUUGUCAAUCAAAAAGAAUCAAUGUAAGAAUCUAGAAUAUUUAAAAAAUAAAACCACUGACAUUAUAAAUAAUAAACUCAAAGGGAUUACAUUUGGGGAUAAAUAUUUUAAAAUGAUAGGAACUGAAAAUAACUAAAACUAUACAGGCAAAGAAAGAAGAAAAUAAAAAUGGUACAUUACCAAAAAAAAAAAAAAAA
This is a long non-coding RNA of Pan troglodytes (chimpanzee), 1717 nucleotides long. RefSeq lists it as uncharacterized. The record is from RefSeq and is a predicted model, not a curated record. The transcript is spliced from 2 exons. NCBI's taxonomy places the organism in Eukaryota, Metazoa, Chordata, Mammalia, Primates, Hominidae.